CGCAGAAGGGCGCCCUCGGAAAGGAAGAGCUACUGGCUCUGCAGCGAUAUUAACUAGCUUCCAGGAGGCGGAGGCCAGCGCCUCCCUGCAUCCCCGUCUCGGCAUUAAACCAAACGUGGACGCCCUUGAUAGACUUUUAAAGGGAAAGCAGGAAUCGUCCUUUACACUUCACCUGCUUUUUACAGCGCAGGGGCCUCUGACAUUUGUGUAAAAUCCACCCGCCAGGAACCGCAGGCUCAGAGCUCAGAAGCGCCCUGUCCUCUUCAGGAGCCCGGGGGCUGACGCCACUCCUUCGAGGGGGCCAAGGCUGAAAAAUCAGCUGGCAAAAGGCAGAUUAAUUGGAGAAAAGGCAUACACGUUUAUGUAACGUAUGUACACAGGAGCCUUCAGCAUAAAGAACGAACGUACAGGGGAACUUGUCCACUUUUAUGCUUCUGUCCAACAAAGUAUGGACGGCCGGGUAGAAUAUGAUCAGACAAGAAGGGUGUGAUCUAACGCUGAGACCGAGUGAGGACACCCAGCAAGGCCUGUCCGGCUAGAUUCUGCCUGGCCUCUCUGAGCACACAUUCCUUCCUUCUGGAAUGAGGGGGUCUUAUGACCAGCAGUCAAACAAGAGCAGAAUGCAGAGAAGAGAUCCAAUUAAUUAAUCGAUCACUUCAGUUAUUGGGUUUCUGGUUUCAAGAAGUCAAGAUCUGCUACUGAAAUGUGCCAAAAGGAGGACCACUCAAAAAGUGCAGCACUUCCUGAAGAAAGGCAGAAUAAAGCAGCUGACUGCAGAGGCCAGGACGGCAGCGCCAGUGAAGGCUUCACACUGGGAUCUCAAGGCGGUAGCUCACAAACUUGUCUUUUAAGGGUCCUAAGGUCAACCAGAUUGGGAGCUUUCUACAUUCUCUAACCCACCUCCGUGGAAAUGCCCCAUGCCUGCAGUGCCCAGGUGUGUAUCAAAAGCUUCGAAAAGUCACACAGCCAAGAAAUCUGCUGAAUUCUAUUCAGCCGAGGGUCUUCCAAACUAACUGGACCAUGGGCCCUCUCUUGGCCUGACACAGCCUCAAGCCACUCUGGGGAUCCUGACUUGGCAUGCAUGGCCAGGGAGAGCACUUCUGAGAGCAGGAUUGUCAUUCAGACAGGGGUGUGCAGACACGUGUUAGCAGUGGACACCAACACACGGUAAUUUUCCUGGGCACCAACUCUGAGGAAUGAAGUCUUUAAAGACUAGAGUAAAGCCAAAAAAAAGAGAGGUGGGUGCCUAAAUUGAUAAACGCCUGAACAUGAAGUCUCUGAAUUCUACUUCUCAGGGAACAGGAGGGCCUGGGGCAGAAUGAUGUCUGGGUGGUCAGAGGUCACGAAAGCAGAUUUUGGUCAAGUCUGAGAAAUGAGGCACAGGAGCUGCAUGGUGUGGUCUUCUCGUCUGUGAUAACAAUUUUCUGUGGUCCACUCAGGAUGUGUCCAGAAACUUGAGGGUUUGGGACAGGUUCACAAAAUCAGCACUUAAUACCCUUUAUCAAUGCCUUGGCUUAAAGAGCCAUUCAAACACCCAGAGUGUGUGUGAGGGAACACACAUGCAUGCACAGUGUGGCCUGAGACUCAACUGUAAGUCUGAGCUUAUGCUGCACCUGCUUUAUUUCACACAGAAUGUUAGAGUUGCUAGUAUCUACAUCCAGUCAUCCUUGACUCUAUCUUGGCCUCUAAAAUACCGGAGUUAAAAUUCUCCUACCACAUAGAGCAAGAUUCAAAUGCAAGGCCAGGAGGGAUUAGGGUACAAGGCAUGCUG
RNAcentral lists this long non-coding RNA (1771 nucleotides) under Homo sapiens (human). RNAcentral's name for it is "HSALNT0372281". The record is from RNAcentral. Lineage: Eukaryota; Metazoa; Chordata; Mammalia; Primates; Hominidae.